This 433-nucleotide ribosomal RNA is filed under the name uncultured bacterium. RNAcentral's name for it is "partial 16S ribosomal RNA". It matches the Rfam family "Bacterial small subunit ribosomal RNA", at positions 29 to 507 of the family's 1533-position model. The record is from RNAcentral.
AACGAACGCUGGCGGCAUGCCUAACACAUGCAAGUCGAACGAGACCUUCGGGUCUAGUGGCGCACGGGUGCGUAACGCGUUGGAACCUGCCCUUAGGUUCGGCAUCACUCCCCGAAAGGGGUGCUAAUACCGGAUAAUGUCUUCGGACCCAAGAUUUAUCGCCUUUGGUUGGGCCCGCGUUGGAUUGGCUAGUUGGUAGGGUAAAAGCCUACCCAGGCGACGAUGCAUAGCUGGUCUGAGAGGAGGAUCAGCCACACUGGGACUGAGACACGGCCCAGACUCCUACGGGAGGCAGCGGUGGGGAAUAUUGGACAAUGGGCGAAAGCCUGAUCCAGCAGUGCCGCGUAAGUGAUGAAGGCCGUAGGGUUGUAAAGCUCUUUUACCCGGGAUGAUAAUGACAGUACCGGGAGAAUAAGCUCCGGCUAACUCCGUG